CGCUCGCAGGGUUGCGACGUCUCUCGAAUGUCAAAACGACUCUCGGCAACGGAUAUCUCGGCUCUCGCAUCGAUGAAGAACGUAGCGAAAUGCGAUACUUGGUGUGAAUUGCAGAAUCCCGUGAACCAUCGAGUCUUUGAACGCAAGUUCCGCCUGAAGCCAUUUGGCCGAGGGCACGCCUGCCUGGGCGUCACGCAUC
This 199-nucleotide ribosomal RNA is filed under the name Picrorhiza kurrooa. RNAcentral describes it as "5.8S ribosomal RNA". The stretch from base 38 to 193 matches the Rfam family "5.8S ribosomal RNA". From Rfam's summary of the family: 5.8S ribosomal RNA (5.8S rRNA) is a component of the large subunit of the eukaryotic ribosome. Lineage: Eukaryota; Viridiplantae; Streptophyta; Magnoliopsida; Lamiales; Plantaginaceae. The record is from RNAcentral.